RNAcentral lists this ribosomal RNA (391 nucleotides) under uncultured Gammaproteobacteria bacterium. Its description in RNAcentral is "bacterial SSU rRNA". It matches the Rfam family "Bacterial small subunit ribosomal RNA", at positions 370 to 779 of the family's 1533-position model. The record is from RNAcentral. Lineage: Bacteria; Pseudomonadati; Pseudomonadota; Gammaproteobacteria.
AAUGGGCGCAAGCCUGAUCUAGCCAUGCCGCGUGAGUGAUGAAGGCCCUAGGGUCGUAAAGCUCUUUCGCCUGUGAUGAUAAUGACAGUAGCAGGUAAAGAAACCCCGGCUAACUCCGUGCCAGCAGCCGCGGUAAUACGGAGGGGGUUAGCGUUGUUCGGAAUUACUGGGCGUAAAGCGCACGUAGGCGGAUUGGAAAGUUGGGGGUGAAAUCCCGGGGCUCAACCCCGGAACUGCCUCCAAAACUAUCAGUCUAGAGUUCGAGAGAGGUGAGUGGAAUUCCAAGUGUAGAGGUGAAAUUCGUAGAUAUUUGGAGGAACACCAGUGGCGAAGGCGGCUCACUGGCUCGAUACUGACGCUGAGGUGCGAAAGUGUGGGAGCAAACAGGAUU